UGGGGAAUAUUGGACAAUGGGCGAAAGCCUGAUCCAGCGACGCCGCGUGGGUGAAGAAGGCCUGCGGGUUGUAAAGCCCUUUCGGUAGGGACGAAAGCCUCCGACCUAACACGUCGGGGGGUUGACUUAACCUACAAAAGAAGCACCGGCUAACUCUGUGCCAGCAGCCGCGGUAAUACAGAGGGUGCAAGCGUUAAUCGGAAUUACUGGGCGUAAAGCGCACGUAGGCGGCUUGGCAUGUCGGGUGUGAAAUCCCCGGGCUCAACCUGGGAACUGCAUCCGAAACUGCCUUGCUAGAGUAUGGGAGAGGGAAGUGGAAUUUCCGGUGUAGCGGUGAAAUGCGUAGAUAUCGGAAGGAACAUCAGUGGCGAAGGCGACUUCCUGGACCAAUACUGACGCUCAGGUGCGAAAGCGUGGGGAGCAAACAGGAUUAGAUACCCUGGUAGUCCACGCCCUAAACGAUGAGAACUGGAUGUCGGGAGGAUUUGCCUUCCGGUGUCGUAGCUAACGCGUUAAGUUCUCCGCCUGGGAAGUACGGCCGCAAGGUUG
RNAcentral lists this ribosomal RNA (549 nucleotides) under uncultured bacterium. RNAcentral's name for it is "bacterial SSU rRNA". It matches the Rfam family "Bacterial small subunit ribosomal RNA", at positions 355 to 896 of the family's 1533-position model. The record is from RNAcentral.